GCCUUGACAUACUAAGAACUUUCCAGAGAUGGAUUGGUGCCUUCGGGAACUUAGAUACAGGUGCUGCAUGGCUGUCGUCAGCUCGUGUCUUGAGAUGUUGGGUUAAGUCCCGCAACGAGCGCAACCCUUUUCCUUAUUCGCCAGCGGGUAAUGCCGGGAACCUUAAGGAUACUGCCAGUGACAAACUGGAGGAAGGCGGGGACGACGUCAAGUCAUCAUGGCCCUUACGGCCAGGGCUACACACGUGCUACAAUGGUCGGUACAAAGGGUUGCUACCUCGCGAGAGGAUGCUAAUCUCAAAAAGCCGAUCGUAGUCCGGAUCGCAGUCUGCAACUCGACUGCGUGAAGUUGGAAUCGCUAGUAAUCGCGGAUCAGAAUGCCGCGGUGAAUACGUUCCCGGGCCUUGUACACACCGCCCGUCACACCAUGGGAGUUUGUUGCACCAGAAGUAGGUAGUCUAACCGCAAGGAGGAC
This 474-nucleotide ribosomal RNA is filed under the name Acinetobacter sp. RNAcentral's name for it is "bacterial SSU rRNA". It matches the Rfam family "Bacterial small subunit ribosomal RNA", at positions 978 to 1451 of the family's 1533-position model. Lineage: Bacteria; Pseudomonadati; Pseudomonadota; Gammaproteobacteria; Moraxellales; Moraxellaceae. The record is from RNAcentral.